UACGGGGGGGAGCAAGCGUUGUUCGGAUUUACUGGGCGUAAAGGGCGCGUAGGCGGCGCAACAAGUCACUUGUGAAAUCUCCGGGCUUAACCCGGAGCGGCCAAGUGAUACUGUCGUGCUAGAGUGCGGAAGGGGCUACUGGAAUUCCUGGUGUAGCGGUGAAAUGCGCAGAUAUCAGGAGGAACACCGGUGGCGAAGGCGGGUUGCUGGGCUGAUACUGACGCUGAGGCGCGAAAGCCAGGGGAGCGAACGGG
This 254-nucleotide ribosomal RNA is filed under the name uncultured bacterium. RNAcentral describes it as "partial 16S ribosomal RNA". It matches the Rfam family "Bacterial small subunit ribosomal RNA", at positions 524 to 776 of the family's 1533-position model. The record is from RNAcentral.